This 253-nucleotide ribosomal RNA is filed under the name uncultured bacterium. RNAcentral's name for it is "partial 16S ribosomal RNA". It matches the Rfam family "Bacterial small subunit ribosomal RNA", at positions 524 to 776 of the family's 1533-position model. The record is from RNAcentral.
UACAGAGGGGGCAAGCGUUGUUCGGAAUUACUGGGCGUAAAGGGCGCGUAGGCGGCCUGCUAAGUCGAACGUGAAAUCCCUGGGCUCAACCCAGGAACUGCGUCCGAUACUGGUUGGCUUGAAUCCGGGAGAGGGAUGUGGAAUUCCAGGUGUAGCGGUGAAAUGCGUAGAUAUCUGGAGGAACACCGGUGGCGAAGGCGGUUCUCUGGGCAUUACCUGACGCUGAGGAGCGAAAGUGUGGGGAGCGAACAGG